Molecule: ribosomal RNA, 683 nt
Filed under: cf. Botryobasidium sp. 4 LR-2015
Lineage: Eukaryota; Fungi; Basidiomycota; Agaricomycetes; Cantharellales; Botryobasidiaceae
Description: eukaryotic LSU rRNA
Rfam family: 5.8S ribosomal RNA (bases 258-411)
Source: RNAcentral
AGAGGAAGUAAAAGUCGUAACAAGGUUUCCGUAGGUGAACCUGCGGAAGGAUCAUUAAUGAACAAGUACGCGCGGGGGAGGGUUGUGCUGGCGCGUCCGCGCGCACGUGCACGCCCGCCCUCGUCGUCCGUCCACUCACACCUGUGCACUUUGCUCGUCGGGUCGAGGGCCCUCUUUGGUGGGGCGCCCUUGGCCGACGCACUUUUCACACAACCUGUCUUAACCGGAUGUCAAUUGCGUAAACGCAACCGAAAAACAACUUUUAACAACGGAUCUCUUGGUUCUCGCAUCGAUGAAGAACGCAGCGAAAUGCGAUAAGUAAUGUGAAUUGCAGAAUUCAGUGAAUCAUCGAAUCUUUGAACGCACCUUGCGCUCCUUGGUAUUCCGAGGAGCAUGCCCGUUUGAGUGUCGUGAUAUCAUCAAGCCGACCCCUCCUUUGCUGGUGGGGGUUGCGCUUGGACUUGGAUGUGCUGCCGGACGGCGACGCCCGGCUCAUCCCAAACGCAUUAGCUGGAUUUAUUCCUGGCUUGGACUUUUGUUCUCACUCGGCGUGAUAAUGUCACCCGUCGAGGACGUCCCUCGCCUCACGGACCGGCUUCCAACCGUCCCCUCGUGGACAAAUCACUUUGACAAUCUGACCUCAAAUCGGGUAGGACUACCCGCUGAACUUAAGCAUAUCAAUA